UACAGAGGGUGCAAGCGUUAAUCGGAUUUACUGGGCGUAAAGCGUGUGUAGGUGGUUGUUCAAGUCGGUUGUGAAAUCCCUGGGCUUAACCUGGGAACUGCUUCCGAGACUGAGCGACUAGAGUACGGUAGAGGGCGGUGGAAUUUCCGGUGUAGCGGUGAAAUGCGUAGAUAUCGGAAGGAACACCAAUGGCGAAGGCAGCCGCCUGGGCCUGUACUGACACUGAGACACGAAAGCGUGGGGAUCAAACAGG
RNAcentral lists this ribosomal RNA (253 nucleotides) under uncultured bacterium. Its description in RNAcentral is "partial 16S ribosomal RNA". It matches the Rfam family "Bacterial small subunit ribosomal RNA", at positions 524 to 776 of the family's 1533-position model. The record is from RNAcentral.